AGUGAACGCUGGCGGUAGGCCUAACACAUGCAAGUCGAACGGCAGCACAGUAAGAGCUUGCUCUUACGGGUGGCGAGUGGCGGACGGGUGAGGAAUACAUCGGAAUCUACUUUUUCGUGGGGGAUAACGUAGGGAAACUUACGCUAAUACCGCAUACGACCUACGGGUGAAGGCAGGGGAUCUUCGGACCUUGCGCGAUUGAGUGAGCCGAUGUCGGAUUAGCUAGUUGGCGGGGUAAAGGCCCACCAAGGCGACGAUCCGUAGCUGGUCUGAGAGGAUGAUCAGCCACACUGGAACUGAGACACGGUCCAGACUCCUACGGGAGGCAGCAGUGGGGAAUAUUGGACAAUGGGCGCAAGCCUGAUCCAGCCAUACCGCGUGGGUGAAGAAGGCCUUCGGGUUGUAAAGCCCUUUUGUUGGGAAAGAAAAGCAGCAGGUUAAUACCCCGCUGUUCUGACGGUACCCAAAGAAUAAGCACCGGCUAACUUCGUG
RNAcentral lists this ribosomal RNA (492 nucleotides) under uncultured bacterium. Its description in RNAcentral is "partial 16S ribosomal RNA". It matches the Rfam family "Bacterial small subunit ribosomal RNA", at positions 29 to 507 of the family's 1533-position model. The record is from RNAcentral.